Molecule: ribosomal RNA, 460 nt
Filed under: uncultured bacterium
Lineage: Bacteria
Description: partial 16S ribosomal RNA
Rfam family: Bacterial small subunit ribosomal RNA
Source: RNAcentral
CCUACGGGGGGCAGCAGUGAGGAAUAUUGGUCAAUGGCCGUAAGGCUGAACCAGCCAAGUAGCGUGAGGGAAGACUGCCCUAUGGGUUGUAAACCUCUUUUAUGCGGGGAUAAAUGUGUCCACGUGUGGAUGUUUGCAGGUACCGCAUGAAUAAGGACCGGCUAAUUCCGUGACAGCAGCCGCGGUAAUACGGAAGGUCCGGGCGUUAUCCGGAUUUAUUGGGUUUAAAGGGAGCGUAGGCCGGUCUUUAAGCGUGCCGAUAAAUUUGGUGGCUCAACGAUGAGGGUGCGGCGCAAACUGGGGACCUUGAGUGCGCGGAAGGCAGGCGGAAUUCGUGGUGUAGCGGUGAAAUGCUUAGAUAUCCCGAAGAACCCCGAUUGCGAAGGCAGCCUGCCGCAGCGUUACGGACGCUGAAGCUCGAAAGCGCGGGUAUCGAACAGGAUUAGAUACCCCGGUAGUC